UUAUAAGCAUUGAACAAGAGCAACCAAGAACUAGGUAACUUCCAGAAAAAAGUCCAUUAGCUGCGAGGACUUAGUUAUCAUCUUGGUUGGUAGCUUGGGAGCUGUUAGCCUGAAAGUUUAGUAGGGUUAGCCGGAUAUCUAUUCGUUAACUAGAAACAAGUGGGGCAUAAAAGCCCAAUUUAGGUGGUACCACGGCACUGUCGUCCUAAGU
RNAcentral lists this non-coding RNA (211 nucleotides) under Ligilactobacillus agilis. RNAcentral describes it as "Lactobacillus agilis T-box sequence". It matches the Rfam family "T-box leader". From Rfam's summary of the family: Uncharged tRNA acts as the effector for transcription antitermination of genes in the T-box leader family. T-boxes are found upstream of many aminoacyl-tRNA synthetase genes and some amino acid biosynthetic genes usually in Gram-positive bacteria. Lineage: Bacteria; Bacillati; Bacillota; Bacilli; Lactobacillales; Lactobacillaceae. The record is from RNAcentral.